Molecule: small RNA, 27 nt
Filed under: Bombyx mori (domestic silkworm)
Lineage: Eukaryota; Metazoa; Arthropoda; Insecta; Lepidoptera; Bombycidae
Description: ovarian small RNA-32695
Source: RNAcentral
UGAUCGGGACCCCUGACGUUUGGAAGC